UGCAGAAUCCCGUGAACCAUCGAGUCUUUGAACGCAAGUUGCGCCCUAAGCCUUUUGGCCGAGGGCACGUCUGCCUGGGUGUCACAAAUCGUCGUCCAUCAAUCCUAUAAGGAUUUUGGACGGAAGCUGGUCUCCCGUGUGUUACCGCACGCGGUUGGCCAAAAUCCGAGCCUAGGACGCCCAGAGCGUCUCGACAUGCGGUGGUGAAAUAAGCCUCUUCAUAACGUCGUGCGCUCUUGUCCAAAAGCUCCCGAUGACCCAAUGUCUUCUAUGCGACCCCAGGUCAGGCGGGAUCACCCGCUGAGUUUAAGCAUAUCAAUAAGCGGAGGAAAAGAAACUAACAAGGAUUCCCUUAGUAACGGCGAGCGAACCGGGAAGAGCCCAGCUUGAAAAUCGGACGUCUUCGGCGUUCGA
Molecule: ribosomal RNA, 414 nt
Filed under: Cochlearia danica
Lineage: Eukaryota; Viridiplantae; Streptophyta; Magnoliopsida; Brassicales; Brassicaceae
Description: eukaryotic LSU rRNA
Rfam family: Eukaryotic large subunit ribosomal RNA (bases 274-414)
Source: RNAcentral